This 339-nucleotide ribosomal RNA is filed under the name Triticum aestivum (bread wheat). Its description in RNAcentral is "partial small subunit ribosomal RNA". The record is from RNAcentral. Lineage: Eukaryota; Viridiplantae; Streptophyta; Magnoliopsida; Poales; Poaceae.
AUGGAUUUAGCUGUCCCAACAGAAUUCCUACUUCUUGCUUAUUUUCAUGAGGUCUCUGCAGUUUUUAGUAAGAAUCACGUUUACUUUUCUCUUAUCCUGAAAUAUGGCACUUGCACAAGUUCUUUGCUCAUGAUUACUUUUCCACUGCCAGGUAUAUUGUCCGGUUUGGUACCUCAUGUUGGCAUGGAAUUUAAAAAUUCAGAUGAAGCUUGGGCAUUUUGGCUUAUCUAUGGUCGUAAAAAGGGCUUUGGGGUCAGGAAAAGGUGCACAAACAAGAGAUCCGCCGAUGGCAAGGUUACUUCAUGCCAAUUUAUUUGUGCAAGGAAAUGGAAUGCUUAA